AGCGGCGGACGGGUGAGUAACGCGUGGGCAACCUGCCUUUUACUGGGGGAUAACACCGGGAAACCGGUGCUAAUACCGCAUAACACCAUAGAGUGGCAUCACUUAGUGGUCAAAGGAGCAAUCCGGUAGAAGAUGGGCCCGCGUCUGAUUAGCUAGUUGGUGGGGUAAAGGCUCACCAAGGCGACGAUCAGUAGCCGAACUGAGAGGUUGAUCGGCCACAUUGGGACUGAGACACGGCCCAGACUCCUACGGGAGGCAGCAGUGGGGAAUAUUGCGCAAUGGGGGAAACCCUGACGCAGCGACGCCGCGUGAAGGAUGAAGGUUUUCGGAUUGUAAACUUCUUUAGUCGGGGAAGAAAAAAAUGACGGUACCCGAAGAAUAAGCCACGGCUAACUACGUGCC
Molecule: ribosomal RNA, 402 nt
Filed under: uncultured Bacillota bacterium
Lineage: Bacteria; Bacillati; Bacillota
Description: bacterial SSU rRNA
Rfam family: Bacterial small subunit ribosomal RNA
Source: RNAcentral